AAUGAACGCUGGCGGCAGGCCUAACACAUGCAAGUCGAACGGAUCCUUCGGGAUUAGUGGCGGACGGGUGAGUAACGCGUGGGAACAUACCCAAAGGUACGGAAUAGCCUCGGGAAACUGGGAGUAAUACCGUAUGUGCCCGAAAGAGGAAAGAUUUAUCGCCUUUGGAUUGGCCCGCGUUGGAUUAGGUAGUUGGUGGGGUAAUGGCCUACCCAGCCGACGAUCCAUAGCUGGUUUGAGAGGAUGAUCAGCCACACUGGGACUGAGACACGGCCCAGACUCCUACGGGAGGCAGCAGUGGGGAAUCUUAGACAAUGGGGGAAACCCUGAUCUAGCCAUGCCGCGUGAUCGAUGAAGGCCUUAGGGUUGUAAAGAUCUUUCAGGUGGGAAGAUAAUGACUGUACCACCAGAAGAAGCCCCGGCUAACUCCGUGCCAGCCGCCGCAGUAA
RNAcentral lists this ribosomal RNA (449 nucleotides) under uncultured bacterium. RNAcentral describes it as "partial 16S ribosomal RNA". It matches the Rfam family "Bacterial small subunit ribosomal RNA", at positions 29 to 523 of the family's 1533-position model. The record is from RNAcentral.